Molecule: long non-coding RNA, 1800 nt
Filed under: Homo sapiens (human)
Lineage: Eukaryota; Metazoa; Chordata; Mammalia; Primates; Hominidae
Description: long non-coding RNA NONHSAT172931
Source: RNAcentral
CCCCACUCUCUUCUGCUAAUAAGUAGUCUAGUGCUGGCCCAUUUUGAUAAAUUGUUGCAUGCAUUUGGUUUUGUUGUUGCAAGAGCAUUUCCAGGGCUGAAGUGGUUUGGUUAGUGAUUGUCUAUAGUACAGCCUAUUCUCAAAAUUAUUCUAUUUGCAUAUAUCUGGGAGUGCCAUAACCCCAUGAACCAUCCUCAGCCCAAGUGGCAGGGCUGUAAUAUUCGAUGAUCCAUUGCAGAGGCCACUCAUCCUCUUGCCAUCUUUGCCUUCCUCCUACCUUUAAGGACCUUUUUUCCCUGUUUAGGUUAUCAUAUACAGGGAUUCCAAGAGUGUUGCCCACCUGCAUUGGAAGUAAAAAGAAUCCAGUUUUAAUUGUACCUAGGAAGCAAGUACCUUGCCAGUGAUAAGGUAACCAAGAGUAAGCCUGGGUUCCACAUAUCCAAAAGAAUACUUCAGGACAAUCUAUUGUAGUCUGGUUUUCAUAGGAUUGUCCCAUAGUGCACUUAAAUGUGGGUAUGUGGCUUAAGGGUUAGUGGUGUUUGUACAGUACCAGGCCUUUUCUGACAAGUCACAAUUGAGGUAGCUUAAGUUAGAAGGAGACCACACUCUGUGGGGUAACCUUGGCCCCCAGUCUACUGUGGAGGCAUUGACUGCUAGGGUUUGGUGACAGGGGCUUUCACCUAUGGUGUGAUGGGUUUCAUCAGUUCACUUGUGGUAUAUGCACACCAUCCCUCUUACUGGGUUGAUAAGUAUCCAGGACUGUGGGCAUUCCUGAGUAGUGAGAAUGACGCUGGGGUUUUGGGAUGCUGGUAAGAGGGAAUGUCUAUCCCAUACCACGGCCACUGUUGAUUCAUACGAGAUCCCCACAUAUCCAGCAAUUGGACACAUUCAUGGUAAAUGUGAUGUGUUCUCCUAGAUCUGCAAACAGGUUUUUUCUGGGUUUAGGAAGGGAUAUGUCUGCUUGUAAUUUUGUAUAAAGGGAUGGAAAUACCACAGGUGAUUUGGGCACAGGGGGGUGGUAGUUGUUUGUUUUGGCUUUUGCUUUGGCUAUAAUCUGUUUUCUCUUUAUGUCCUUUAGCACUUGAGUGUUUACUCUCCGUCAUCCAAUUUUGUGGAGGGAAAGCCACCUCUUACCUUUUGGACAUAUAGCCCCUUUAUGACUGCUAGAUACUCCUAGAUUUUUUACUUUAUAAUAACUUUUCCAUGAUUCAACACAUUCCUCAAUUAAGAUUUCAUAACAGAAUUUUUCUAUUUGAGUAUGGUAAGUAAAUGAUUGUUGCAUUUUUCCUCAAUAGUGAAAAGACUGAUAACACUCACGGCAACUCAGAGGAGCUGCUGUGGACCACAGGGCAGCUACUGACAAUAUUAGGAUUGUGGUGAGGGAUAUUCCUGUACUAAGACUUUUGGUUGGAAGUCAGGUACAGCAAACGGUUGGGCAGAUACAGGCCAUUUCUGAAAGCAGGUGAUUAGUCUGCCUUGUGUUUUGGUUCUAAGAAAAAAAAUUUUUUGUUAAUUUAAGCUUGGUAGGAGAAAUUGGCCUAGAUGACAACUCAGCUAUUAAUGUUUUGGAGGAAGAAGUAGCCUUGGGGGUGAGAUUGACCCUGGUGUGAUGGAUCCAGUGGGGGAGUCCUUGGACUCUCACUGCAUUGGGCAUGCAGAGUAUCAAAGUGUAGGGGCCUGCCCACUUUGGUUGUAGCUUUUCAUGAGGGUCGGGUUGGCAGAUAAACAUGUCUGUGCCUGCAAGACAGUUAUGUAUAGAGGACAAAGAGAUGACUAUAGGGAGAGGCAUGGCCUCAUUUG